This 995-nucleotide ribosomal RNA is filed under the name uncultured bacterium. RNAcentral describes it as "bacterial SSU rRNA". It matches the Rfam family "Bacterial small subunit ribosomal RNA", at positions 355 to 1375 of the family's 1533-position model. The record is from RNAcentral.
UGGGGAAUAUUGCACAAUGGGGGAAACCCUGAUACAGCGACGCCGCGUGGAGGAAGAAGGUCUUCGGAUUGUAAACUCCUGUUGUUGGGGAAGAUAAUGACGGUACCCAACAAGGAAGUGACGGCUAACUACGUGCCAGCAGCCGCGGUAAAACGUAGGUCACAAGCGUUGUCCGGAAUUACUGGGUGUAAAGGGAGCGCAGGCGGGAAGACAAGUUGGAAGUGAAAUCUAUGGGCUCAACCCAUAAACUGCUUUCAAAACUGUUUUUCUUGAGUAGUGCAGAGGUAGGCGGAAUUCCCGGUGUAGCGGUGGAAUGCGUAGAUAUCGGGAGGAACACCAGUGGCGAAGGCGGCCUACUGGGCACCAACUGACGCUGAGGCUCGAAAGUGUGGGUAGCAAACAGGAUUAGAUACCCUGGUAGUCCACACCGUAAACGAUGAUUACUAGGUGUUGGAGGAUUGACCCCUUCAGUGCCGCAGUUAACACAAUAAGUAAUCCACCUGGGGAGUACGACCGCAAGGUUGAAACUCAAAGGAAUUGACGGGGGCCCGCACAAGCAGUGGAGUAUGUGGUUUAAUUCGACGCAACGCGAAGAACCUUACCAAGUCUUGACAUCCUGCGACGAUGCUGGAAACAGUAUUUUCCUUCGGGACGCAGAGACAGGUGGUGCAUGGUUGUCGUCAGCUCGUGUCGUGAGAUGUUGGGUUAAGUCCCGCAACGAGCGCAACCCUUACUGUCAGUUACUACGCAAGAGGACUCUGGCAGGACUGCCGUUGACAAAACGGAGGAAGGUGGGGAUGACGUCAAAUCAUCAUGCCCUUUAUGACUUGGGCUACACACGUACUACAAUGGCGUUAAACAAAGAGAAGCAAGACCGCGAGGUGGAGCAAAACUCAGAAACAACGUCCCAGUUCGGACUGCAGGCUGCAACUCGCCUGCACGAAGUCGGAAUUGCUAGUAAUCGUGGAUCAGCAUGCCACGGUGAAUACGUUCCC